Molecule: ribosomal RNA, 543 nt
Filed under: Triticum aestivum (bread wheat)
Lineage: Eukaryota; Viridiplantae; Streptophyta; Magnoliopsida; Poales; Poaceae
Description: partial small subunit ribosomal RNA
Source: RNAcentral
AUGAGAAGUCCUUUGUCCUACAAAAGAAGGAUGAUGCAUGUGAUAAAUCUAUGCAAAUUUACAGGGGAUGAAGCAAACAGGAUUAAAAUGCUUACUCUUUGGCACAUCAUUGGAAAGCCGCUUCAAGUCUUGUUCGAUAUUCAAAGGGUUUACAACAUUAUCAAGAGUUUUGGUACGACUCUUGGAGGCUUUUGGCACAUCAUUGGAAAGCCGCUUCAAGCCUUGUUUGAUAUUCAAAGGGUUUACAGCAUUAUCAAGAGUUUUGGUACGACUCUUGGAGGCCUUUGGCACAUCAUUGGGAAGAAGCUUCAAGCCUUGUUUGAUAUUCAAAGGGUUUACAGCAUUAGCAAGAGUUUUGGUACGACUCUUGGAGGUCUUUGGCACAUCAUUGGAAAGCCGCUUCAAGCCUUGUUCGAUAUUCAAAAUGUUUACAACAUUAUCAAGAGUUUUGGUACGACUCUUGGAGGACUUUUUCGACUUCCCGGCCUUCCUUGGUUCCUGGACAUUUUUAAGAUGAACCUUGCGCUCAACAAGCUCGCGUAG